This 12091-nucleotide long non-coding RNA is filed under the name Mytilus galloprovincialis (Mediterranean mussel). The record is from RNAcentral. Lineage: Eukaryota; Metazoa; Mollusca; Bivalvia; Mytilida; Mytilidae.
GAACCGCAAAAAAUCUACCCGUGUAUACUGUGACAGCAACACUAAACAGUAUACAUGAAUUUUGGCUAAUUGUCAUCCUAAUAAUUCAAUUUGCUUCAUAAACCAAUGCAAUAGUUUAAAACUUACAGACUUAAGGUAAUAUCGUCGACCGAACUGAGCCCUAGAAAAAGACUGCUUCUUCCUCGUACCUUGUCCCAGAAAAAUGUUAUUUCGUACCUUGGACUGGAUCCGAUGCGACGACUGGUAACCAGUUGACCGGUUUUUAAGGGAAAUUAUUUUGCAAAACGAAACAAAAUUUCAAAUGUAUUUUAAUGAACUGGUUAGUUUAUAUGGUUCUUAUUGAAAUCUACACAUCGAUAAAAACUUUUUCAAGUCUAAAUUUAUCGAUUUGUGGCCACUCAUCUCUUUUUUGAUUAACAGAUCAUAUCGUUGUUGCCAUUAAGUCUUAGUUCUUCAUUCCUAUAAUUAUAUUUACCUUACAGGUGCCCUUUGCCACUAAAAAAAUAUAAAAAGUAAGUUGAAAAUUCUACUUGUAAGUAUACAUUGUUACAUGAACAGUUAGCACAGUACAUCAGAUUGGGAUAACACUCAUGUGAAGUGUCAUUUCAGGUUGGGAACAACCCCUCAAUGUAAUAACUAUCGCAUUUAAUGUGGGGUACAUAUUUUUCAAGUGAUAAAUUUGGUUGUUGUUGAAAGUUGUAAAAAGUAAAACACCUUUUUAUAGUGUGUGAUAACAUUUUGUGAGGGAAUUCGAUGUUUGCUAUACCACUGUUCAUUUCAACGCACUUUAUGACGAUACCACUUUAUCAAUAUGAAUGAAAUUUUUUGCAGUGUUUUAAGAAAUAACUUUACUUUAAAUUCACCUACCAUUUGUGAACCAUUAAAUGUUUCACAAGGACGAAUUUUCUGUAUAAAGUCAAUAAUUGUGUGAACUUUUGAAGCUCAAACUUUUUAUAGCUUUAAAUACGCCAAUGAAAGGUACGAAAACUAUACCAAUACAGAACGAUAUAUUUUUGAAAUUGUAGCAAAACUUUUGGUCGAAAAAUUUUAAUUCGUUAUUGCAUAAAUAUCAACUUGAAAUAUCUGUCAUUUUCUCCCUACCCAGUUUACCCCUAUUACUUCUUAUAAUGUGGACAGGACAUUGUUAUGCAAUUUGAUUGUAUUACGUUCUUUUUGAUUACCUUCAAACUGUUCAUGCUUUUCGUACGAGUAUAUAAUAAUUGAUUAAAUCAGACCGUGCGUGAAUGUGUACAGUAAAUUAAAUGACCUGCAUACUGGACACUGGACCAGUCCAUAUUACGUUUAUCAAUUAAACUUAAGGUAUGAAAGGUAACAAUUGCCACUUUUUUAUAUUUUCACAAUAAUUUUCCGAAUUCACAUUAGAUAAAAUAUUUUUGAAAGCCUAUUGGGGAGAAAAAAGGGAAAGUUUACUGUUUUUACGUUCUAUUCCAUUAAAAAUGCCAUUUUUCGAAGAUAAAUGCAGAAAAAAUUUUUAUGCACGGCUACGCCAGGUAAAAUUGUUGUUUAUCCUAACAAAAAAAUACAUUUUUCAGUUUCAUUCGAAUAUUAUAAUAAUAAUAAAUCCCAAAUUUAUGUAGUCAUUAGAUAAAGUCCUUAAAUGUAUGAUCUGACUAUUUUUGGACAUCAAAAGACAAUACGAUCGUCUUAAGGUCAAUUUCGUCUACCUCACACAAUCUUGUUAGGCACUAUAGUACAAAUCAGCACAUACAUUGUAUUUGAAGAAUAUUUUUCUAAAGAAUUAUACAUCUACACAAUGUAUCUACUAUCUAGUAUAAUAUGGUCAAAACAUGUCUUAGAACUUGUUAUAUUCAUUAGCUUCAAGCUUACAUGUAAAUCCAAUUUUAAUCCAAAUUCCAGUUGAAUUAUUAGAUAUUUUUAUACAACCGCAAAAAUAAAAAAAAAAUUGGUCGUAUAUUGGUAUCAUAUUGUCGUCGUCUGCGUUGUUGUCAGUGCGUCUGAAGACAGAUUGUUUCAGGAUAAUAACUUUUGAAUAAGUGAAAAGAAGUCAAUAAAAUUUUAACACAAUGUUUAUAAUUCUCAAAAGGAAGCUUGGGAUUGAUUUUAAUGUUAUGGUCUCAAAGGUUAAGGAAUUAGGGGCCCAAAGGGGCGAAAAACAGCAUUUAUCUAGUUUCAGGACAAAAAGUUGUGUAUUAGUAUUUCAAUUGUUUUGAAAUUGUACCACAAUGUUUAAUACCAUAAGUAGAAGGUUGGGAUUUAUUUUUAGGGGUUCUUGGGCAAACAGUCUAGGAAUGAGAGCCAAAAAGGGGCCAAAAACAAGCAUUUUUCUAGUUUCAAGACAAUAACUUGUGUGUGUAACUGUAUGGAUCUCUCUGACAUUGUACCACAAUUUUCCAUAUAACACAGGGAAGGCUUGAAUACAGUUUGGGGUUAAUUUCACCGAAUAUGUAGGAAUGAGGGGCCAAAAAAUGUCCAAAAAGAAGCAUUUUUCUAGUGUACGACAAUAACUUGUGUUUAAGUGUAUGAAUCUCUAUAAAUUUUUACAUGAAGGUUCAAUACCACUAAAGGAAUGUCAAUGAAGGUUGGGAUUGAUUUUGGGGGUUAUCCAGGGCUCACGCUACCAGGCGACUUGGGCGAAGAAGUCGCCCUACCGACCGUCACUUCGCUUUCCUUGACCCCCAAAAGCGAAAACAAGUCGCCCUGUUCUUGACGAAAGUCGCUUUCAGUCGCUUCCGAAGUUCCGUCAUCGGACAUUUUCAAUUUUUACCAAGUUGAUGAAACAUUAAUUUUUUACUGAUAAUUAAAGAAAUUCAGACAUAAACUAUUCAUUAUCUUUAGAAAAGAGGUUGAAGCAUUGUUUUCGCAGUGUGUAUCAGGUUAUUUGAUAAAAAUACAACUUUUUAUCACUUCGUGAAUUUUCGCAAAUUCCGGUGCUUGUUACUCGAAAACGUACAUCAACCUAAAUUUCGGCGGCAAAAUAAGUUUGUUACUUCAUUUAAACGUGAUAAAAGUUGCCUCCAGUAAAUGUUUAAUCCAUUUAUUGCAUUAAAACCGUCAUGUUCCUUUCCAAAUAACUUGUCAAACAUCGUUUAUUUUUGUAAAUUUUCUUGCAUUCGUCCGCCAUUGACUGAUUUCUAAACUACGGAUCUGAACCGGACCAGCUAUGACCGAAAUCCGUACUUUUACAAUAAUUACUACGGACGCACGGAUGGAACAGCUGACAGAAGAAUAUUGAUCCCAAAGGGAAAAAUUACGCAUCCCACACGCAUUAAGAGACUUUUGCUUACAUCUAAUUGAUUGGUGUAUAUAAUUCCCUAUAUUUUUUAUGAAUGUUUCAAACUAUUGAUUAAAGUUGCUUAACUCUGAGACUAUUAUACUAAUAUCAAUAUAUUAUGGCCAGCUUAAUAACUUUUAUAUUUUUUUUAUGAGAAACACUGAAUUUCAUACACAAGAUAAUUUUUAAUUAAAUUGUAAUUGAUAUAAUUUCUUUACAUUUUUUAAAAUAAUUUUUUUUUUUUAGUGCUAGAUAUUUAGUUGGUAGUUUCUCACAAGAACCUUAGUAAAACUUAAACAACUUUUAAUUUCAAAAUGUUACUUUAAUUGUAAUUUUUUACUCAUAUGAAUUGAACAACAUAAAAGAACAUUAUUUACAUAUGGCCCUUUAUACUAUUGUAAAAUCCAAACAUUGUAGCGCACCCGCGCGAAUGAGCACCAGUGGCGGAUCAGGGGGGGGGGUUCCGGGGGUGCGCACCCCCCCUUUAUUUUUGCCGAUCAAUGCAUUUGUAUCGGGACAUAUGUUUUGCACCCCCCCUUUGCCCUGGGUGCCCUGGGUUAGCACCCCCCCUUUCGAAAAUUCCUGCAUCCGCCCCUGAGCACUUCUCUUUCAAAUCUCACCACUUCUCCCUAUCAGUUUCAAAAAGAGAAGUCACUUCUCCCUAUAAUUCUGAAGUAGUGUGAGCCCUGGUUAUCAUGGUCCCAAUAGUUUAGGAAUUGGAGGCCAAAAAGGGGGUCCAAAAUAAUCAUUUUUGUAGUUUUCAUACCAUGAAGGGAUGGUUAGUAUUGACUUUGGGGGCUAUGGCUCAAAAUGUUUCGGAAUUAGGGGCAAAAAAGGGGAAAAACUAGGUAUUUCUGGUCAAUGGACAAUUAAGACAAUUUUAAAGCAGUGUAAGGGAGGUAAUUCUAAAACAUUUAACAUACAAUGUUGGGUAUGUUCAGAUUUGCCUCCCUUACACUACUUGUAUAUUACAAUGUAUGCAUGAAGAAAUGUCAGGUUUUGGACUAUUUGCAAAAAAAGGGAGGUGAUAGUUGUUUUCAAUUUUUUUUUUUCAAAUUUCUCAAAUUCCAAAUUUUUGAAAAGUUGAAAGAAGAAAUCUUUAAUUGCACAAUAUUGCACUAUAGAUUUGUAAGAUCUUGACAUUUGUUUAGUGUCAGAAACUCAUAUUAUGUCAAAAAUUUGAUCACAAUCCAAAUUCAGUGCUGUAUCAAGCUUGAAUGUUGUGUCCAUACUUACCCCAAUUGUUCAGGGUUCGACCUCUGCGGUCGUAUAAAGCUGCACCCUGCGGAGCACCGGGUUUUACAUGUAUAAACCCUAAAAUGUAUAUAUAUUUUCCAGAAUAAAAUUGGGGAGUUAACACAUGAAAUGUUGUUUAUUUUUAUCUAAUUGAUGAUUAAUUAUUAAAUUUUAUUUUGAUAUGGCUAAGUAUUCAGUAUAGUGUUGUUAGUGUGUGACAACAUGUAUGAUUUUAAAAGUAGCUGUUUCAAUCUUAAUAACAUGAUUUUCUGAAAGGAGAAUGAUUCUAGUUUAGGGUUUUACAUGUAAAAAGAUAGUUAUUUACAUGUAGUCAGAAAACAUAAAAUUAGACCUAAAUAGCAUGUUGGACAGAGGUUAUGUUGGACGUAACAGGACAUUGAAAAAUUGAAUAUUUUCCUUUUAUAUGAAGGCCUAGUUAAUAAAUAUAUCAAUUUUUCUCUGACAGUUCAUAAGAUCUUCAAUUAAAGUAUAUCAUUUUGUUAAAUUUUUCAAAAACUAACUUAUAAGUUGGAAAAAUCUUAAAUAUGUCGGACAAACGGGGACAUUUUUGGAUGAGAAUUUGUUCCAUUUGCAUCAUUGAAAGUCAAAAACAAAAUCAAAACUAUGCUGUUUAUACUAAUAUCUACAGCUGGUGUUCCUCAGCAAGAGGUAAAAUAGUUCAUUAUUAAAUAAAUGGAUAAAACAAAACCAUAAAAAACUAGGACAAACAUAGGACAGAUUAUAUUCCCUGUCGGACAAACAUAGGACAGAAUUCAUUAAUUUACUGAUCCUAAUGGGAUUUAAAAAUGGGCACCUCUUAAGAAGAGACUAGGAAGGGUCUGAGAACUAUUUUUUAGUUUAUGUGGACUUGUUAGUUGUUAACAAGGUUCCUUUUACUUUUAAAAAGCUGUUACGUCCGACAUUAGAAGAUUUUGUCCUACGGUUCGUCAACAGAAAAUUAAUGGACUCUUGUUACGUCCUAAUUUUCAAAUUAUGUCAAAUUUAGACUGUCAACAGUUUAAAACUCUUUAUUUUCAUUUAUAUGUAGUAUUUAGGUUAAGUAAUUGUCAAAGUAGAAGCGAAUUGAUUCUGUGACUUGUGGUAGCCAUUUUAGAGAAUAUCUUGGAUGUUGGACGUAACAUUUUUUUGGACAAAUGUUGGAUGUAACUUCCAUCUCUUGGUUGGACAGAAAGAGUGUUCACCCCUUCAAUGUCGUUGAUGUCAAGUAAAAAGAAACAGUUGACAGCAAUACCGUAUGCACAUCGCGAUUGUCGUAAAAUUUGUUGUCAUAAACAUUAAAAAAAACUUAAACUGAGUUGGCAACUUGCAAAUGAAAAUUGAAAUUUUCGCCCGUAAUGGUUGGACAGAUUUUUCAAGAGUAAACUUUAAUGACAAUUCCUGAAAAAAAUAAAACUUUCUGCUGUAACUUCAUGAUGAAUUAUCACAUUUUAGUUAAUAAGCUCAAGCCUCAAGAUAUUUUGUGCAUUUAAUUCCCUCUAUUGUUACAUAACUUAUAUUUCAUUCACAUAGGAAGAAGACAGAAAAUGUUAGUCCAACAACAUGACCAUUAAAUGUUUUUAAUCCUUAUUCGAUGAUUUUCAUGUUGAGUGUCCUUCCUUGCACCCUAUUGUUACCUGAAAAUCCUUUUUACCUAGUUGCAUUCAACAAAAAGGUUAAUAAAACAAUUUGAUGUUGGGUAUCCGACCUGUACAAAAUAAGCAUCAAAUUAGGAAUUCAAACACUUCAUUUAGAAAAUACUUUAUUCAACAAUAAACUUUUCAUAUGAGACUGUUUAUAUAUCUCUUCAUCAUGCAGUGAAUUGAUUAGCCCGCAUUAAAACUCAAAAUAUAAAAUAUGAAAAAUGCAUUUUUCUGGGACACCCAUUGAAACAGCACUUUACUGAAUACUUAGCCAUAUACGAAGAUGUGGUACAUGUAUCAUAUAUGAGUGCCAAUGAGACAACUCUCCAUCCAAGUCACAAUUUUUAAAAGUAAACUGUCUUCAACAUAGAGCCUAAGCUCAUACCUAACAGCAAUCUGUAAAGGGCCCCAAUAUGUUCUAGUGUCAAACCAUUCAAAUGGGGAAACCAACUGUCUAAUCUAUAUAAAAAACGAGAAACACUUAUGAACCACAUAAACAGUCCACAACCACUGAACAUCAGAUUAUUACUGUUAAUUGGUAUUUAUACACAUACAUGUAUAUUUGGUAUUAUUCUUGUGUAUGAAAAUCAUGAUUGUUGUUUUAUUUUCCUUUGAAGUAAAUACUGCAGCCAGGUACAUGUAUGAGUAAAACUUUGAAGAAUUUGAACGAGAAACACGAAUGAUAAUUGCUUUUAGCAACUUAGCCCUUUGAUCUCACUUUAUUUAAUUUUUGAAACAAUGAUGAUUCACUAACUAAAACAAAAUUCAGAUUUAUUCAACAACAAAAAUAACAUUGUUAGAAAAGCAAGAGUUCAACAUCUCUAUCUUUACACAAAAAGGAUAAAAACAAAACUUAAAAGCAAGAUAGGGGGCACAAAAACUUCCAAAACAGGAUACAUGUACAUGUAGGUGGGAAACAUGUAUAUAUAUAUAUAUAUAUAUAUAUAACUACAUUUUUGUGCAUGGUUAGAGUUAUCUUCCUUUGUCCAUAAUAAAUGACUUAAGGUGGUACCCAACACCUGCACUAAAAUUAAUUUGGCUCUUUUAAUUUUCAUAAAAUUUUGACAAAGUAUUUACUUUAACCCUUUGACAGUUUAAUUUUCAUAAAAUUUUGACAGGGUAUUAACUUUGACCCUUUGACAAAAAUAUAAAAAUUUCCAAAAUAAAAUUUUAUCAGAAAAAUUACACUGGUUAUAUAUAGCAGUUUGACAAACAAGUUAAUUUUGAUCAUUGAGAGACUAAGUCACUUAAUAUUCCCUUAACAUCACAAUGUAAUUAAAAUGUUUAGCUGAUUUUACAGUUAUCUCCCUGUAGUGUUAGGUACCACCUUAAUGCUCACAAGCACUUUGAUUAGGAAACAGUAUUUUGAAACACUGUUUUAAAAAUUACCACACUGGUUGCAUACCUGUCAACCUGUGACGAUGAAAAUGCAGGUCAUGACCUGCAUUGAAGAAUGAAAUCUCAGGUCAUAACGCGUACAAACUUUUUCGAGCUGAAUUUCAGUAUAUAGGGGACAUUUUUCUUAUAAUUAAACAAAGUUUUCAAAACAUGUUCACUUGGUUAAGUUAUUUUAAAUCUUAUUAAUUAUUAUUUCAUUGCACUUAUGAUAAAUUUGUUUAACACUACCUUAUGUUGUUUACUUAUUGAUAUUUAUGUCUCUGCUUGUAUUUUUGUGAUAUAUUUCAAGCUCAUAUACUAGAAUAGAUUAAGUGUUAAAAAUUUGAGUCCUUUACACUUUAUGUUUUCAAAAAUAUUUGAAAUGAGAGCAUAAUAAAAUACAGUUAAACAUUUAAGGCGAAGUGUACGUAAUUAAACUACACAAUGGAUUUUUUUAAAAUUUCACAUACGAAUUCUGCUUGUAAAAUUACACCAGAAAAUUAAAUAAAAAAAGGGGGUAACCGUUUUCGUUUUUGAGAUACGAGCCGUUGAAAUUAACUACAUGAUACACCAAAAUUACAAAGGAUAUAUAAGGAAAAUCAUCAAAAUUAGCAGGUAUUUUUACAUUAUCAAGAUUUUCUAUUUUGUUGGACAAUGGAUUUUUUCUAAAUUGAUUACGAUUUAAAAAGAAAGCGAAUCCAUCGGUGCAAAGAAAGUCUUAGCACCGUUUAGUUUUUACGCUAUCUCUGUUGAAGUUUAGUUUUUUGGCCGGAACAUUAAAAUUCUGGCGACGUCAUUGCUGCAGUAAAGUCGCCACAACUCUACGUCGAAACUCUAUAUAACCGUACAAUGUCGUAGCAAUGGCGUGCGUGUGUAUUACCCAUCUUCCUAUGUAUUACAAAUGAUCUAAGGCUAUAAAUUGAUAAGGAAAUAAACUAAUUAAUUUUAAAGAAUAUUUCUGUCGCAAAAGAACAUGCAAGUUUGUAAAUUAAUUUACCGCAAAUGAAAGAAAUUUACCGUAAACUCUAAUUUAAUCUUUUCUAUAUUAGAGUGAUUUCCGAACCUUUUUCAAUGUUGGCAUGGAUUGUUUAAUUCUUUUAUGAAUCAAAUAUCGAGUUUGAAUUUGUCCCGGUUAACACAGUGUGGUCAGAAUGAAUUGAUCGGCUUUAAUACUAGGAUCGGGUAUUCACCUCGUUUUCAAUCUUACUUCUGCAUAUAGAUAUAGAAGAUGUGGUUGAGUGCCAAUAGACAACUCCAUACAAAUAACAAUUUAAAAAGUAAACCAUUAUAGGUUAAAGUACGGCCUUCAACACGGAGCUUAGCUCACCGAACAAAAAGCUAUAAAGGCCAAAAUUACUAGUGUAAAACCAUCAACGGGAAAACCAACGUCUAAUCUUAUAAACAAAACGGAACGAGAAACACGUAUAUAUUAAUAAACAAACGACAUUACUGUACAUCAGAUUCCUGACUUAGGACAGGUGCAACAUUGUGUUUGAUUUAAAAAAGUGACCUUUUCUUUUUUUUCAUGUUCGACAUUUCUGCAUGUUGUUAAUCUGAGAUUUGCACACAAUAUAGUAUACAUCAUAAACCUAUUUCAUUAGUCAUGUUUACACACAUGCUAAAGACGCAUCUCUGCCAAAACAUAUUUUAUUUUACAAAAUUUCCAAUCUCGAUCACUUUCCCUUUUCUUUAACUAAAUGACAAAGAAUGAUGUAGUGUUUGCUGAAUGAAGUUUCAGUAACAUAAGAAAAUAUUUGUUUGUUCCAUGCAUUAUUUGUUAAAAAUCCACAUUUAAGGAUUUAAAUUGAUUGAUUGAUUGUUGGUUGCUUAACGUCCAGUGGCAAAUAUGUCAUGCAUGUUCAGGACGAGAACAAGUUAAUAAUAAAUACAAUAAGAAGUUUUGUUCAUAACAGAGGCCAUCCGGGAUGAUGGUCUGGGAAAUUUGGAGUGCCAAUAGAAAAUGAGAGUACAUGUAUAUUGGAUAGGGACAGAAAUUUUGCCGCGUGCAACAGUCCACAUAUUCAACCCUUAAAUUAUAGUUGUUGCAAUGGUUUUUAACAGGCAUAGAGUGUGGCACUCUCUUACACGAGCAUCGGACCCCCCCCCCUGUCCUGGGUUUGGACCCCCUUAUUUUUAAAUGGCUGGAUCCGCCCCUGCUAGUACACCACAUGCUUCUCAAUUCUUGUAUUAUGAUCUAUUAUCAUGAACUAAGUGAAAGCAUAGAGCUGACCGAGUGCGAGAUCUUCCUGGAUUAUCAUUGACUCAGAGGUCGUUUAAGCAUCCCUUGCAGUAGACUUCCGUUAAAUUAAAAAAAAUCUUUAAAAUGCUAUCGAAAUGUAUUAAAAGUCUGAACUCAUUUCACCUCUCAUUCCACUAAACAAAGUGCCACAAAACUUUCCUGACCUCUUUUCUUUAACCGUAAUGAUAUAUAAUUCUACUCUUUCAUAAUCUUGAAUUGAGACUUGGGAAUAAAACGUUACUUCAAAAUUACAUUUUUUUCUCUAAUUUGAAAUGAUGCACACAGGCACAAUAAAAGAAAACAAAUUUUGCUAUCUCUUCGAAAUUGGAAUUUGAAAAAGAAGAAAUGACGUGUUAUAUUUUUAUCAUACAUGAAUCAUGUGUAUUUGUACUUUCAAUUCCAAUUUGGUUCUAAAUUUAGAUUCAGUUUUCCCAUAAAUUUCGGACGGAAUAGAAGACACCUGUUUAUUUUCUGCACAUGUAGAAAAAGUUGAAAACUGGAAGUUGAAUGACAUAAUUUUUACUUAUUCUAAGAUAAAUGUUUAGAGUGAUCACUUUUUAGUUUACCAUGAGUAUUUUUUUGGGGCCUAAUUUGUUAAUUUUCGUCUUUGUUCUUCCGACUUGUAAGUGUUGCCACAGUCGUUUGAAUUUUAGUGAUAAAUAAACAAAAAAAAAUAGAAAAAAAGUCGCUAGAUAUAUUAUAUAUAUAUCUAGCGACUUUUUUCUAUUUUUUUGCCACAGUCGUUUGAAUUUUAGUGAUAAAUAAACAAAAAAAAUAGAAAAAAGUCGCUAGAUAUAUCUGUGGUGUUGCCCUAGACUAGUGGUCAAAUUAUAUUCUCUUGGUAUCGUCUUAUUUUCUAAAUGGAUAUAAAACAUGUCCUAAAAUUUUCAUUUGCACAAAAUACGAACAUGUCAACGUUUUUUUAAUCUAAUAAUUAAUUUCACAUGCCAUUCAUUAAUUGUUCGGUAACCUUAAUCUUUAUGUUGAGUACUGUGUGUUUUCGUUCAAAACUACGGUUUUUAAAACGAUAUUGUUGGGUCAAUUCAGGUUUCAUUUUAAUUAAUUUGAUAUCAAUAUAAGUAGAAUCGUCACAUGUUUAUUUAUUUAUAAUUCUGUUGUGAGGCGUUUUUACAUUUAAUCUGUUGAUAUCAUAAGUUUUACACGAAAUGCCUUUCAUGUCUCAUGCGUCAAAAAAAAAAAAAAAAAAAUCAACUGGUAUUAAAGUCAGGCUGCAAGAAACAAUAGAAUACUUUGAUUUUUAACUGGAGUAAUUCAGAUAAUUUCUCAUGAUUAGAAUUUUUAAGACAGCACGGGCGUGCUUGUUGGAUUUAUGAUAGACCGCACGAAGUAUUUUCUCUUUCGUGUGUCCUUUCUUGGAGUAAGGGAGAUAACUAGCGUAACUAACGUCGAACGUUAUUAAUCCCGUAUUCCGCUAGGGGCGUGCAAUUACGUACACUCGCCUUAAAGGAAGUUUAAAUAAAAAAAAAAAUUUAUACUUUUUUUUAUAUUUGUAUAAAGGUAUGAAAAUGAUGUAAAGUUAUAUUUCAAUAUGUAUUUGAAUUCUAUUUGUUUUAAAUUUAAUCUUUUUUACCCCCAAAAACAUAAAUAUAAGGAGUAAAUGUGAAUGGUGACAAAAAAGGGGUAGUAACUCAAGUUGAAAAAUGUUUGUAAAACAACAGUAAAAUUUAUUUACGACCUAAAGCUGAGUAAUUGGUGUUAAUUAACAGUGUGUUUGACGCCAAAGCUGUCAGGUGAAGCCAUGCACUUAAUGGGUCACUUAAUUUGACAGUUUACACAGCUAGCUGAACUUCCUGUUCAUGGAAGAAUUACGAAUUUGUCUGUAUUUCAUAGGAAAAACACUUAUGAAAUUAAUAUGAAGGCUAAGAAAUCCAGGUGAAAACGGGUCAUAUUCAGAAUUCCCUGGUUAUUCAAUGACCCGGCGGGUGUCCCGGGUGAUCCCUCAAAAUCUUGGGUCACACACGCAGAAUAAGGGUCAGUUGACAGGUAUGAGGUUGAACAGGAGAGUCAUUGUUUUGUUUUUACUGUUUAACCAUCCUAGGACAUUUCAACAUGUGAUAUGAUAUAUAUUAACUAUUUUAGAUUCCAUAGUAAAUCCCCAAAAUGAGACCUGACCAACACAAACAGAAAAAGAAUACACAGUAUAAAAAGAAACAUGGGAUGACUGAGAAAAAUAAAGAUGCUAAAGAUAAAAAAGAUGGGAAACCUGAAGGUUCAAAACAGCCAUACAGGUCUGAUGCUUCAAAGGGGGAACAAACAAAGUCUACAAACAAGUUUAAUAAUAGAGGAAACUUAUCUGAUAGUAGUGAGGUAAGGUCAUAGGUUAAU